GCUACUGCUAUCGGGGUUCGAUUAAGCCAUGCGAGUUAAAUGUUCUUCGUGAACAUAGCGAACUGCUCAGUAACACGUGGAUAACCUACCCUUAGGCCCGGAAUAACCCCGGGAAACUGGGGAUAAUACCGGAUAAGCCAUAGGCGCUGGAAUGCCCUAUGGUUCAAAGCUCCGGCGCCUAAGGAUGGAUCUGCGGUCUAUCAGGUUGUAGUGGGUGUAACGUACCUACUAGCCGACGACGGAUACGGGUUGUGAGAGCAAGAGCCCGGAGAUGGAUUCUGAGACACGAAUCCAGGCCCUACGGGGUGCAGCAGGCGCGAACACUUUACAAUGCGGGAAACCGCGAUAAGGGAACCCCGAGUGCCAGCAUCAAAUGUUGGCUGUCCAGAUGAUUAAAAAUCAUUUGUUAGCAAGGGCCGGGCAAGACCGGUGCCAGCCGCCGCGGUAACACCGGCGGCCCGAGUGGUAGCCGUUUUUAUUGGGUCUAAAGGGUCCGUAGCCGGCCUGAUAAGUCCUUUGGGAAAUCUGGCAGCUUAACUGUCAGGCUUCUAAGGGAUACUGUCAGGCUUGGGACCGGAAGAGGUAAGGGGUACUCCAGGGGUAGGAGUGAAAUCUUGUAAUCCCUGGGGGACCAUCUGUGGCGAAGGCGCCUUACCAGAACGGGUCCGACGGUGAGGGACGAAAGCUAGGGGAGCAAACCGGAUUAGAUACCCGGGUAGUCCUAGCUGUAAACGAUGCUCGCUAGGUGUCAGACACGGUGCGACCGUGUUUGGUGCCGCAGGGAAGCCGUUAAGCGAGCCACCUGGGAAGUACGGUCGCAUGGCUGAAACUUAAAGGAAUUGGCGGGGGAGCACUACAACGGGUGGAGCCUGCGGUUUAAUUGGAUUCAACGCCGGGAA
This 899-nucleotide ribosomal RNA is filed under the name uncultured archaeon. RNAcentral's name for it is "bacterial SSU rRNA". It matches the Rfam family "Archaeal small subunit ribosomal RNA", at positions 23 to 924 of the family's 1478-position model. The record is from RNAcentral.